Molecule: non-coding RNA, 336 nt
Organism: Pelobates cultripes (western spadefoot toad)
Lineage: Eukaryota; Metazoa; Chordata; Amphibia; Anura; Pelobatidae
Source: the annotation of a GenBank genome assembly
GUCACAUACAUGGGCAGUCACACAGACAGACAGUCACACACACAGACAGUCACACACAGGCAGGCAGUCACACACAGAGACAGUCACACACACACACAGAGACAGACAGUCACACACACACACACACACAAGGACAGGCAGUCACACAGACAGUCACACACACACACACACACACAGUCACACGCACACAGGCAGGCAGUCACACAGACAGACAGUCACACACACAGACAGACAGACAGUCACACAAACAGGCAAACAGUCACACACACACACUUACCUCUUUCCAGUGGAUGCAGUUGGCUGAUGGGGAAGCAUCUUUCCCUCUUCCUGUACAGC